UGAUGCUAGGAAGUUGUUGAUUGACAAGGCAAGGACUGACAUUCGUAAGAAAUUAGAAGAGAUCAGGUCUGCUGCCAUUGCAUCUGCUGCAGUUAAACAGAAAGCACAAGAUCCAUCCAGAGAGGCAGGAGUUGGUCCUAAAUGUGAUCAUUCAGAUGUUUCUGGCCGUCAAAUAAAGCCAUCUAAAGCUGGGCCAAUCUCAAUAACGGUGCCUGAUCCUGAUUUCCAUGAUUUUGACAAAGAUAGA
RNAcentral lists this unclassified non-coding RNA (247 nucleotides) under Hevea brasiliensis (rubber tree). The record is from RNAcentral. Lineage: Eukaryota; Viridiplantae; Streptophyta; Magnoliopsida; Malpighiales; Euphorbiaceae.